GGGGAAUCUUGCGCAAUGGGCGAAAGCCUGACGCAGCGACGCCGCGUGAGCGAUGAAGGCCUUCGGGUCGUAAAGCUCUGUCAGAGGGGACGAUAAUGACGGUACCCUCAGAGGAAGCCCCGGCUAACUACGUGCCAGCAGCCGCGGUAAGACGUAGGGGGCUAGCGUUGUCCGGAAUUACUGGGCGUAAAGGGCGUGUAGGCGGCCUUGCAAGUCAGUGGUGAAACACCUGGGCUCAACCGAGGUAUUGCCGUUGAAACUGCUGGGCUUGAGGGUAGAAGAGGAGUGUGGAAUUCCCGGUGUAGCGGUGAAAUGCGUAGAGAUCGGGAGGAACACCAGUGGCGAAGGCGGCACUCUGGUCUACCCCUGACGCUGAGGCGCGAAAGCUAGGGGAGCAAAC
This 400-nucleotide ribosomal RNA is filed under the name uncultured bacterium. RNAcentral describes it as "bacterial SSU rRNA". It matches the Rfam family "Bacterial small subunit ribosomal RNA", at positions 356 to 773 of the family's 1533-position model. The record is from RNAcentral.